Molecule: small nuclear RNA, 141 nt
Filed under: Cebus imitator (Panamanian white-faced capuchin)
Lineage: Eukaryota; Metazoa; Chordata; Mammalia; Primates; Cebidae
Description: U4 spliceosomal RNA (ENSCCAG00000009411.1)
Rfam family: U4 spliceosomal RNA
About the family: U4 small nuclear RNA (U4 snRNA) is a component of the major U2-dependent spliceosome.
Source: Rfam by way of RNAcentral
AGCUUUGCACAGUGGCAGUGUAGUAGCCAAUGACGUUUAUCCGAGGCGUGAUUACUGCUAAUUGGAAACUUUUCCCGAUACCCCUCCAUGACGACUUGAAAUAUAGUCGGCGUUGGCAAUUUUUGGCAGUCUCUACGGAAA